This 253-nucleotide ribosomal RNA is filed under the name uncultured bacterium. Its description in RNAcentral is "partial 16S ribosomal RNA". It matches the Rfam family "Bacterial small subunit ribosomal RNA", at positions 524 to 776 of the family's 1533-position model. The record is from RNAcentral.
UACGUAGGGGGCUAGCGUUGUCCGGAAUCAUUGGGCGUAAAGCGCGUGUAGGCGGUUCGGUAAGUCCGCUGUGAAAGUCGGGGGCUCAACCCUCGGAUGCCGGUGGAUACUGUCGGACUAGAGUACGGAAGAGGCGAGUGGAAUUCCUGGUGUAGCGGUGAAAUGCGCAGAUAUCAGGAGGAACAUCAGUGGCGAAGGCGGCUUUCUGGACCAAUACUGACGAUCAGGUGCGAAAGCGUGGGGAGCAAACAGG